RNAcentral lists this ribosomal RNA (279 nucleotides) under uncultured bacterium. Its description in RNAcentral is "partial 16S ribosomal RNA". It matches the Rfam family "Bacterial small subunit ribosomal RNA", at positions 506 to 784 of the family's 1533-position model. The record is from RNAcentral.
UGCCAGCCGCCGCGGUAAUACGAAGGGACCUAGCGUAGUUCGGAAUUACUGGGCUUAAAGAGUUCGUAGGUGGUUGAAAAAGUUGGUGGUGAAAUCCCAGAGCUUAACUCUGGAACUGCCAUCAAAACUUUUCAGCUAGAGUAUGAUAGAGGAAAGCAGAAUUUCUAGUGUAGAGGUGAAAUUCGUAGAUAUUAGAAAGAAUACCUAAUGCGAAGGCAAUUUUCUGGUGCACUCCUGACACUGAGGUGCGAAAGCGCGGGGAGCGAACAGGAUUAGAUA